Molecule: ribosomal RNA, 491 nt
Filed under: uncultured bacterium
Lineage: Bacteria
Description: bacterial SSU rRNA
Rfam family: Bacterial small subunit ribosomal RNA
Source: RNAcentral
GAUGAACGCUAGCGGCAGGCCUAACACAUGCAAGUCGAACGGUAACAUGAGUAGCAAUACUUGAUGACGAGUGGCGCACGGGUGCGUAACGCGUAUGCAACUUACCUCUAACUGGAGAAUAGCCUUCCGAAAGGAAAAAUAAUACUCCAUAAUAUUACGAUGUGGCAUCACAUUGUUCUUAAAGCUUCGGCGGUUAGAGAUGGGCAUGCGUCUGAUUAGCUUGUUGGUGAGGUAACGGCUCACCAAGGCAACGAUCAGUAGGGGGCCUGAGAGGGUUAUCCCCCACACUGGUACUGAGACACGGACCAGACUCCUACGGGAGGCAGCAGUGAGGAAUAUUGGUCAAUGGACGAAAGUCUGAACCAGCCAUGCCGCGUGCAGGAUGAAUGCCCUAUGGGUUGUAAACUGCUUUUAUAUAGGAAUAAACCCCUUUACGUGUAAAGGGCUGAAGGUACUAUAAGAAUAAGGACCGGCUAACUCCGUGCCAGCAG